AAAAAGAUAAGCUAAUUAAAGCUUUUAGGUUCAUACCCUAAUAAUAGAAGUAAAGCCUUCUUCUUUUUA
Molecule: transfer RNA, 69 nt
Filed under: Atkinsoniella zizhongi
Lineage: Eukaryota; Metazoa; Arthropoda; Insecta; Hemiptera; Cicadellidae
Description: Atkinsoniella sp. 1 YJ-2022a tRNA-Met
Source: RNAcentral